The sequence is a regulatory RNA element, 121 nucleotides long. It matches the Rfam family "PyrR binding site". From Rfam's summary of the family: This family represents the PyrR binding site and terminator structure. This RNA structure is found upstream of a variety of genes involved in pyrimidine biosynthesis and transport. The record is from Rfam.
GAGACCUUUAAAAAUAGUCCCGUGAGGCUAGGAAGGUGCGGUUCUAGGGGUGUAGGCUAAGUAUACCUAUACCUAAAUCAAGCCACCAAGACUUACGGAGAAGUUUUGGUGGCUUUUUUGA